CAGUCGCCGCGGUAAUACGGAGGGUGCAAGCGUUAAUCGGAAUUACUGGGCGUAAAGCGCACGCAGGCGGUCUGUCAAGUCGGAUGUGAAAUCCCCGGGCUUAACCUGGGAACUGCAUUCGAAACUGGCAGGCUGGAGUCUCGUAGAGGGGGGUAGAAUUCCAGGUGUAGCGGUGAAAUGCGUAGAGAUCUGGAGGAAUACCGGUGGCGAAGGCGGCCCCCUGGACGAAGACUGACGCUCAGGUGCGAAAGCGUGGGGAGCAAACAGGAUUAGAGACCCGUGUAGUCCCUGUCUUUUAUAC
Molecule: ribosomal RNA, 301 nt
Filed under: uncultured bacterium
Lineage: Bacteria
Description: partial 16S ribosomal RNA
Rfam family: Bacterial small subunit ribosomal RNA
Source: RNAcentral